UUUAAGCGCAAUCAUAAAUUUAUGUGUCCAUUUUUUAUCGUUAGUCUUAUUGAAAUUUUUUUAUGAUUAGUAUUUGUAUUGUUAUUAGAUGAUACAACAUGAAUUGUACUUUAUACGUGACUUAUAUAUUUUUAUUUUUUUUCAAAAAGAAUGAAAUAAGAUGGAUGACUAAGUUUAGACACGAAAACUCAUGAUUACGCUUAAA
MicroRNA precursor from Oryza sativa Indica Group (long-grained rice), 205 nucleotides. It matches the Rfam family "MIR812 microRNA precursor family". The record is from Rfam. NCBI's taxonomy places the organism in Eukaryota, Viridiplantae, Streptophyta, Magnoliopsida, Poales, Poaceae.